GACGAACCGAGCGAACGUUGUUCGGAUUUACUGGGCGUAAAGGGCGCGUAGGCGGCCACCGCAAGUCGACUGUGAAAUCUCCGGGCUUAACUCGGAAAGGUCAGCCGAUACUGCGGGGCUAGAGUGCAGAAGGGGCAACUGGAAUUCUCGGUGUAGCGGUGAAAUGCGUAGAUAUCGAGAGGAACACCUGCGGCGAAGGCGGGUUGCUGGGCUGACACUGACGCUGAGGCGCGAAAGCUAGGGGAGCGAACGGG
RNAcentral lists this ribosomal RNA (254 nucleotides) under uncultured prokaryote. RNAcentral's name for it is "partial 16S ribosomal RNA". It matches the Rfam family "Bacterial small subunit ribosomal RNA", at positions 524 to 776 of the family's 1533-position model. The record is from RNAcentral.